CCUACGGGGGGCAGCAGUAGGGAAUCUUCCACAAUGGACGAAAGUCUGAUGGAGCAACGCCGCGUGAGUGAAGAAGGGUUUCGGCUCGUAAAGCUCUGUUGGGAGUGAAGAAAGAUAGAGGUAGUAACUGGCCUUUAUUCGACGGUAAUUACUUAGAAAGUCACGGCUAACUACGUGCCAGCAGCCGCGGUAAUACGUAGGUGGCAAGCGUUGUCCGGAUUUAUUGGGGGUAAAGGGAACGCAGGCGGGCUUUUAAGUCUG
This 261-nucleotide ribosomal RNA is filed under the name uncultured bacterium. RNAcentral describes it as "partial 16S ribosomal RNA". It matches the Rfam family "Bacterial small subunit ribosomal RNA", at positions 338 to 591 of the family's 1533-position model. The record is from RNAcentral.